GCUGGGUGCGACGGCUCUCGCCUGUAAUCCCAGUGGCUUGAGAGGCUGAGACAGGAGAAUCGCGUGUUCAAAACCAGCCUCAGCAAAAGCGAGGUACUAUGCUGCAACUCAGUGAGACCCUGUAUCUA
RNAcentral lists this small RNA (128 nucleotides) under Marmota monax (woodchuck). The record is from RNAcentral. Lineage: Eukaryota; Metazoa; Chordata; Mammalia; Rodentia; Sciuridae.